Molecule: ribosomal RNA, 451 nt
Filed under: uncultured bacterium
Lineage: Bacteria
Description: bacterial SSU rRNA
Rfam family: Bacterial small subunit ribosomal RNA
Source: RNAcentral
GUGGGGAAUAUUGGACAAUGGGGGCAACCCUGAUCCAGCCAUGCCGCGUGUGUGAAGAAGGCCUUUUGGUUGUAAAGCACUUUAAGCGAGGAGGAGGCUCUUCUAGUUAAUACCUAGGAUGAGUGGACGUUACUCGCAGAAUAAGCACCGGCUAACUCUGUGCCAGCAGCCGCGGUAAUACAGAGGGUGCGAGCGUUAAUCGGAUUUACUGGGCGUAAAGCGUACGUAGGCGGCUUUUUAAGUCGGAUGUGAAAUCCCUGAGCUUAACUUAGGAAUUGCAUUCGAUACUGGGAAGCUAGAGUAUGGGAGAGGAUGGUAGAAUUCCAGGUGUAGCGGUGAAAUGCGUAGAGAUCUGGAGGAAUACCGAUGGCGAAGGCAGCCAUCUGGCCUAAUACUGACGCUGAGGUACGAAAGCAUGGGGAGCAAACAGGAUUAGAAACCCCUGUAGUCC